This is a long non-coding RNA of Eubalaena glacialis (North Atlantic right whale), 595 nucleotides long. RefSeq lists it as uncharacterized. The transcript has 3 exons. The record is from RefSeq and is a predicted model, not a curated record. NCBI's taxonomy places the organism in Eukaryota, Metazoa, Chordata, Mammalia, Artiodactyla, Balaenidae.
CGAAUAAGGGAAGAGACUUGGCAACCCCCAUCCCAUUCCCAUCAAAGACGGAUCAGGAGCCUAGGGAGGUGGGUAUGGGCACAGCUCAUUAAUAAAAACCAAGCAUGUUUCGCCUGGAAGAUCCUCUGAGGUGCUCCCAACCCCCACGCCCACUGCACACACCCAUAAAAUGGGUAAAGCUCAGCAGCCUGAGAAUACAGAGAUAGAGUGUCACGGGUGUAAUUUAACCACCAGUGAAUGAAGGCACGGCGGGUGCAGCCACAGCAUUGAGCUGCGCAUGUCAACUUGGACGUGUGGAUGACCGGUCCAGGUGUGAACCCUGCAUUGUUUGUGCAGCUAACCUAAGCCAGAUGUUUCUUUGAGUGGGCACAGGGGUGGGGCAAAGAGGACUUAAUUCAACAGCUUUGAGAGAAGAGGCUGAUGAUGGGCAUCAUUUUUUGACCUUGAUCUCUGACGGUUGCAAGAUGGGAGAUCCACCAGUGAGGACAACUCACCAUGUCAAGUCCGGCAUUCACAUCUGAACCCGCUCCGCUCACAUGGGCGUGAACACCUAUUUUUUUUUGUUUGUUUGUUUUUAAUAAAUUUAUUUAUUUAU